Molecule: ribosomal RNA, 137 nt
Filed under: uncultured bacterium
Lineage: Bacteria
Description: partial 16S ribosomal RNA
Rfam family: Bacterial small subunit ribosomal RNA
Source: RNAcentral
UGGGGAAUAUUGCACAAUGGGGGAAACCCUGAUGUAGCGACGCCGCGUGAAGGAAGAAGUAUUUCGGUAUGUAAACUUCUAUCAGCAGGGAAGAAAAUGACGGUACCUGACUAAGAAGCCCCGGCUAACUACGUGCC